GAUGAACGCUGGCGGCGUGCCUAAUACAUGCAAGUCGAGCGAACAGACGAGGAGCUUGCUCCUCUGACGUUAGCGGCGGACGGGUGAGUAACACGUGGAUAACCUACCUAUAAGACUGGGAUAACUUCGGGAAACCGGAGCUAAUACCGGAUAAUAUAUUGAACCGCAUGGUUCAAUAGUGAAAGACGGUUUUGCUGUCACUUAUAGAUGGAUCCGCGCCGCAUUAGCUAGUUGGUAAGGUAACGGCUUACCAAGGCAACGAUGCGUAGCCGACCUGAGAGGGUGAUGGGCCACACUGGAACUGAGAAACGGCACAGCCUCCUACGGGAGGCAGCAGUAGGGAAUCUUCCGAAAUGGGCGAAAGCCUGACGGAGCAACGCCGCGUGAGUGAUGAAGGUCUUCGGAUCGUAAAACUCUGUUAUUAGGGAAGAACAAAUGUGUAAGUAACUAUGCACGUCUUGACGGUACCUAAUCAGAAAGCCACGGCUAACUACGUG
Molecule: ribosomal RNA, 497 nt
Filed under: uncultured bacterium
Lineage: Bacteria
Description: partial 16S ribosomal RNA
Rfam family: Bacterial small subunit ribosomal RNA
Source: RNAcentral